AUGGCAUGAUUGGGACAUUUUCAGAUGAGGUCUUUUAAUCUUUCCCAUGCCUCAUGGAACUACUCACGAUCAUGCUGUGAAAAGCUAGUGAGAGCUCGCCUUAUUUC
This is a small nucleolar RNA of Cephalotus follicularis, 107 nucleotides long. It matches the Rfam family "Plant small nucleolar RNA R71". From Rfam's summary of the family: R71 is a member of the C/D box family of snoRNAs containing the C (UGAUGA) and D (CUGA) box motifs. Multiple nearly identical copies of this snoRNA have been identified in Arabidopsis, and it is thought to function as a 2'-O-ribose methylation guide for 18S ribosomal RNA. The record is from Rfam. Lineage: Eukaryota; Viridiplantae; Streptophyta; Magnoliopsida; Oxalidales; Cephalotaceae.